Molecule: non-coding RNA, 684 nt
Organism: Sus scrofa (pig)
Lineage: Eukaryota; Metazoa; Chordata; Mammalia; Artiodactyla; Suidae
Source: RefSeq, a predicted model, not a curated record
AAUGCAGAGUGAGGACCGUGGCCGAGGUAGCCGGCGUUCGGAUCCAGGACUGGGACCAGAGGCAGGAGACUAAUGGAAAAGGCAACUACUAAAUACGCGCAUGCGCGCCGCAGGAGCAUGCGCGCGGCGUCUGCGUCCGCCCACCGAGUCUGGUGCUGCCGGAGCGGUGCUAGUACUGCGCUGGUGCUAGUCCUGCGCUGGUGCUGUUGCGCAUGCGUGGGUACGGGUGCGGCAGUGGUCAACGUGUUGCGGGCUAUUUGGCAAUUAUCUGGUGUUUUCUGCGUGGGUCUCCAGGCCACAUCUAAUUUCAGUAAUCGAGAGGAAGGAGAACUGUGAAGUUCACUUCAUGCGUGCAAACCCUGGUUUCGUCACUUUGGAGCUGUGGGGCGUGGGACGAAUUGCUUCAUCUCUCUGAGACUCGGUUUCUUUAUUUCUCCAGUGGAGGAUAACAACCCCUAAGCAUUCAUUCUCACUGGGUUAUUUUGAGAUCUAACAAUCGUAUGAAAGGGCCCCAGAAUCCACAAGGCACAGUGGAUGGGGGUUUUUCGUUCUGCUGUUUUUGAAUGGAUGAAAAUUUAGUCUUCGACUCUACAAAAUACAGAGAAUAUUAAAUAUUUAUACUUGCAAGGGAUGGGGGAGGAAACAAGAGACUCCAUUUUCCAAAUAAAAUAAUCAGACUGGUCA